Molecule: ribosomal RNA, 253 nt
Filed under: uncultured bacterium
Lineage: Bacteria
Description: partial 16S ribosomal RNA
Rfam family: Bacterial small subunit ribosomal RNA
Source: RNAcentral
UACAGAGGCCCCAAGCGUUGUUCGGAUUCACUGGGCGUAAAGGGUGCGUAGGCGGUCGGGUAAGUCUGAUGUGAAAUCUCACAGCUUAACUGUGAAACUGCAUUGGAUACUAUUCGGCUAGAGAGUUGGAGGGGGGACUGGAAUUCUUGGUGUAGCAGUGAAAUACGUAGAUAUCAAGAGGAACACCAGUGGCGAAGGCGAGUCCCUGGACAACUUCUGACGCUGAGGCACGAAAGCUAGGGGAGCAAACAGG